RNAcentral lists this long non-coding RNA (1188 nucleotides) under Medicago truncatula (barrel medic). RNAcentral describes it as "long non-coding RNA (MTRU_LNC008066)". The record is from RNAcentral. Lineage: Eukaryota; Viridiplantae; Streptophyta; Magnoliopsida; Fabales; Fabaceae.
AUUUUUGAGUCGAUGACUUAAGCAUUGCUCAUCUUGUUCUUACCUCCAAAGGCCCAGUGAGGCUUGGCAGGAGUGCGUUUGAAUGACUUCACUCCCAAUGGGUUGUUCUUGCCCUGUGAUCAAACACAUAAAAUUUGGAUAAGCAAAAGUGAAAACAAUUCAUACAAAUUUGGAUAAUUCCCGAUAAAACAGCUAAAUUAAGAGCUUGUUCUACCAGUUCUUUUCCCAUAAGAAUUUAACUUUGUUUGGAUAAAGUCGAAUUGUUUUUAUUCAAGCUAUAAGUUGUAUUCUUAAGUUAUUCUGAAGAGCUUAUGAAAAUAUUAUGAAAACAAGUAAUAGACAUGUUAUAGGCUAUUUUCCUAUGUUCUCCCAAACAGUCUCAGUAGAUAAACUCAAAUAAUAUAAUCCAAAUAGCUUAUUAGUUUAACUCUGCAUAGUGCAUAAGCUUUUUAUAAAAAAUUUAUAGGCUAUCACAGAAAACUUAUGACAAUAAUCUGAAACCAGCUUAUGGAUAUAUUAUAAGCUAUCUUUAUAAGCUCUUCUAAACAUAAUAUGCAUAAUGCAUCUCAAUUUUUUAAGAAAACUAUCUCAUUUAACUCAAGUUACAAACACUUAUCAUUGAAAAAUUGUUUUCUGCUAAAACUUUACCAUAUUUUAACUGAAAAGAUAAAUUAUAAUUCCAAGUGAAAACCCAAUCAAAAAAUGCAAGCAGGUAAAAGAUAAGGUUGACUUGGACAUACCUUAAGACAAAGUCCAGCACGGGUGUCACAGACAGGAUACUCAUGAGGGCAGCAACUGUAGUGAUCAUCACAGCAAGUAGCAGACUCAAGAGGACAGCAUCCCCACUCAAAGCAAGAUCUUCCAUACUCGUAAAUACAGCAACAAGUAGAGCCUUCAGCACAGCUGUAGUAGCUGUCACAGACAGAUGGUGGCUUUAUAGGUGAAGGUGGCGAUGGUCCAGGGUUAGGGGGGUUCUGCCCAUUCUUAAUUGGAUAAGAUGGCUCGAUCGCAAUUCCACACUUUCCUGCUCUGCUUGAAGCUAGAUUACGUUCGAGUCUGAUGUAACCUUGUUCUCCCCAGCUACCACCCCAUGAAUUUCUCACAAUCCAAUAAUCUUUACCGUUUUCUGUACCGUAUCCAACAGCUGCAACACCAUGGUCUAGUGCUGUUCCACAUCUACCAGUAAAU